RNAcentral lists this small RNA (295 nucleotides) under Streptosporangium subroseum. Its description in RNAcentral is "5' ureB small RNA". It matches the Rfam family "5' ureB small RNA". The record is from Rfam by way of RNAcentral. Lineage: Bacteria; Bacillati; Actinomycetota; Actinomycetes; Streptosporangiales; Streptosporangiaceae.
UCGUCCAGGAUCUGCGGGCAGAUGAGGUGGACGUGGGAGUCGAUCGCCCCGGCGGUCAGGAUCUUCCCGUUGCCCGAGAGGAUCUCGGUCGAGGGGCCGAUGACCAGGUCGGGGUGGAUGCCGUCCAUGGUGUCGGGGUUGCCGGCCUUGCCGAUCGCGACGAUCCGGCCGCUCCUGAUCCCGAUGUCGGCCUUGACCACGCCCCAGUGGUCGAGGACCACCGCACCGGUGAUCACCAGGUCGGGCGAGCCCUCGGCCCUGGUGGUCCUGGCCUGGCCCAUCGACUCCCUGAUGA